UUUUUGUGGCCUUUUUACGUCAGAUUUUUUCUAUCCCACAGAGGCACAAAUGGAUAAAAGCAAAAAACAACAAAAAAAUUGCUCCUACCACACAGGCCUAGGUGUUUAUCCAAUUAGGAGUGCUCUGAAAGAAAGAGUGAGGAAGGGCCAAACAGAAUUGCUGAUCGACUGGGAGCCUUGUGCAGCAUG
Perca fluviatilis (European perch) is the source of this 189-nucleotide long non-coding RNA. RefSeq lists it as uncharacterized. The record is from RefSeq and is a predicted model, not a curated record. NCBI's taxonomy places the organism in Eukaryota, Metazoa, Chordata, Actinopteri, Perciformes, Percidae. The transcript has 3 exons.